GGUGAAAGUAAAGCUCAGAGAGUGCUUGGAGCAGUCCGGUAGAUGAAUGGAGGAGCCCAUUAUUGGAGAAGUCCGGAUGGUAUUAUGGAAGCUCGGACGGUCAGAGGAGUUUGAAAAGACGCCACACAAGGUCGAGGGCUGGAAGGGCCCUAGAAGGGUCGGCCUUUCACAAACUUUGGCUGGGGGUUAUUUAUACCCAACACCAGUCUCCCUACUUUCGAGUUUGAGUUCUGAAUGAAGAAAGUACAGAGAAAUUUUCAUAGCCAAAAUUGCCUCCCUCGAUGCUCGUACUCG
RNAcentral lists this long non-coding RNA (294 nucleotides) under Elaeis guineensis (African oil palm). RNAcentral's name for it is "long non-coding RNA (EGUI_LNC047222)". The record is from RNAcentral. Lineage: Eukaryota; Viridiplantae; Streptophyta; Magnoliopsida; Arecales; Arecaceae.